This is a non-coding RNA of Acanthosepion pharaonis, 115 nucleotides long. Lineage: Eukaryota; Metazoa; Mollusca; Cephalopoda; Sepiida; Sepiidae. The record is from the annotation of a GenBank genome assembly.
UUACGGCGAUAUCACGUUGAAACACGGGUUCCCGUACGAUCGUCGAAGUUAAGCAACGUUGAGCCUGGUCAAUACCUAGAUGGAUGAUCGUUUGGGAAUACCAGGUGCUGCAAUC